UGGGGAAUAACUUCGGGAAACCGAGGCUAAUACCGCAUAAUACCCACGGGUCAAAGGAGCAAUUCGCUUGAGGAGAGGUCGCGGCCCGAUUAGUAGUUGCGGGGUAAUGGCCCCACCAAGACGGUGAUCGGUAUCCGGCCUGAGAGGGCGCACGGACACACUGGAACUGAAACACGGUCCAGACUCCUACGGGAGGCAGCAGUGGGGAAUUUUGCGCAAUGGGGGAAACCCUGACGCAGCAACGCCGCGUGGAGGAUGAAGUCUCUUGGGACGUAAACUCCUUUCGAUCGGGACGAUUAUGACGGUACCGGAAGAAGAACGCCCCGGCUAACUUCGUG
This 338-nucleotide ribosomal RNA is filed under the name uncultured bacterium. RNAcentral describes it as "bacterial SSU rRNA". It matches the Rfam family "Bacterial small subunit ribosomal RNA", at positions 137 to 507 of the family's 1533-position model. The record is from RNAcentral.